UACGGAGGGUGCAAGCGUUGCUCGGAAUUAUUGGGCGUAAAGCGCACGCAGGCGGUAAGGUAAGUCAGUUGUGAAACUCCCGGGCUUAACCUGGGAACUGCAGUUGAUACUGCCUUGCUAGAGUACGGAAGAGGGAAGUGGAAUUCCCAGUGUAGAGGUGAAAUUCGUAGAUAUUGGGAGGAACACCGGUGGCGAAGGCGGCUUCCUGGUCCGAUACUGACGCUCAUGUGCGAAAGCGUGGGGAGCAAACAGG
Molecule: ribosomal RNA, 253 nt
Filed under: uncultured bacterium
Lineage: Bacteria
Description: partial 16S ribosomal RNA
Rfam family: Bacterial small subunit ribosomal RNA
Source: RNAcentral